Hemicordylus capensis (graceful crag lizard) is the source of this 5707-nucleotide RNA transcript. It is a transcript of the gene named crystallin beta A1, with no coding region annotated. The transcript is spliced from 10 exons. The record is from RefSeq and is a predicted model, not a curated record. Lineage: Eukaryota; Metazoa; Chordata; Lepidosauria; Squamata; Cordylidae.
UGGCCGCUUCAUGCCUUCGUGAGGGAAGGUCCACUCGGCCGCUUCUUCGUGAGGGAAGGCCCACUCAAGAAGGGAAGGUCCACUCAGCCGCUUCAUGUCUUCGCGAGGGAAGGUCCACUCGGCCGCUUCUUCGUGAGGGAAGGCCCACUCAACAAGGGAAGGUCCACUCAGCCGCUUCAUGUCUUCGCGAGGGAAGGUCCACUCGGCCGCUUCUUCGUGAGGGAAGGCCCACUCAAGAAGGGAAGGUCCACUCAGCCGCUUCAUGUCUUCGUGAGGGAAGGUCCUCUCGGCCGCUUCUUCGUGAGGGAAGGCCCACUCAACAAGGGAAGGUCCACUCAGCCACUUCAUGUCUUCGCGAGGGAAGGUCCACUCGGCCGCUUCAUGUCUUCGCGAGGGAAGGUCCACUCGGCCGCUUCAUGUCUUCGCGAGGGAAGGUCCACUCGGCCGCUUCAUGUCUUCGCGAGGGAAGGUCCACUCGGCCGCUUCAUGUCUUCGCGAGGGAAGGUCCACUCGGCCGCUUCUUCGUGAGGGAAGGCCCACUCAACAAGGGAAGGUCCACUCGGCCGCUUCAUGUCUUCGCGAGGGAAGGUCCACUCGGCCGCUUCAUGUCUUCGCGAGGGAAGGUCCACUCGGCCGCUUCAUGUCUUCGCGAGGGAAGGUCCACUCGGCCGCUUCAUGUCUUCGCGAGGGAAGGUCCACUCGGCCGCUUCAUGUCUUCGCGAGGGAAGGUCCACUCGGCCGCUUCAUGUCUUCGCGAGGGAAGGUCCACUCGGCCGCUUCAUGUCUUCGCGAGGGAAGGUCCACUCGGCCGCUUCAUGUCUUCGCGAGGGAAGGUCCACUCGGCCGCUUCAUGUCUUCGCGAGGGAAGGUCCACUCGGCCGCUUCAUGUCUUCGCGAGGGAAGGUCCACUCGGCCGCUUCAUGUCUUCGCGAGGGAAGGUCCACUCGGCCGCUUCAUGUCUUCGCGAGGGAAGGUCCACUCGGCCGCUUCAUGUCUUCGCGAGGGAAGGUCCACUCGGCCGCUUCAUGUCUUCGCGAGGGAAGGUCCACUCGGCCGCUUCAUGUCUUCAUGAAGGUCCUUUCGGCCGCUUCAUGUCUUCGUGAGGGAAGGCCCACUCAGCAAGGGAAGGUCCUCUUGGCCGCUUCAUGUUUUCCUGUGGGAAGGUUCUCUCAGCCGCUUCAUGUCUUCGUGAGGGAAGGUCCACUCAGCCGCUUCAUGUCUUCCUGUGGGAAGGUCCUCUCGGCCACUUCAUGUCUUCAUGAAGGUCCUCUCAGCCGCUUCAUGUGUUCCUUUCCGGCAUUUAUGAGGAGAUGGGAGAACUCCACCUCAGCUUGAUGUAGUCAAUUGCAAGAUUUAUAUCCUGCCUUUCAGUGUGUAUGUGACCAUACAAAUAAAUGAGAGAGAGAGAGAGAUUGAGAGAGAGAAUGGUACGAAGAGAGAUGACUGGCAACAGGGAGUUAGAAAUUUUAAUUGAACUUCUCGGCUUAUAUUUAAAGAAGCCUGGAGUUGCUGACUCUCCGUUGUCAGUCUUUAUUUAUUUUUCUAUGUAAACCCAUUUGGAAACUUUUGUUGAAAAGCAGCAUACUGUAUAAGUAGCAGUAGUAUAACAGUAUGACUAUAUAUUUAGUGUAUAAAUAUAUAUUUUAGUGACUAAACCUAUUCUUCCAAGAUCCAGAGCCUCCUGAGAAGCUGAGAAGUUGUUUCUCAACUUGAUCCUACCGUUCAAAUAAAUAUAUAUAUGUGUAUAUGUAUAUAUAUGUGUGUGUGUGUGUAUAUAUAUAUAUAUAUAUAUAAAAUAUAUAUUCUAAUAUUACAUAGAAUGUUACCAAGUUUUGUGCAGCAGCGUGUAAUAUUCAGCCUGAGUUUACUACCAAUGACAACUAUCUUUAUGUUGUCAAAUAAUCAGAUGUUUAGUCUUUGUUUCAAUGUAUAUUCUAAUUAUUCUGUAAUCUCUGUUUUAUAUACAUCUAUAUUUUAUUUAUAAUGUAUGUUAUUUUUGGUGGAGGAUGGAAUUGGUUUAUUUUUCCUGGUUGGUCAAAGACCAUAAUAAAUUUAGUUCAAUUAGUUCAAUUCUAUAUGUGUGUGUACACACACACAAAGAGUACAAAAAGAUAUGUUCCUCAUAUAUGUUUAUAUCAUACAUUUUUAUGUUACUGGUGCUUUCUGUUUUUCAAGGAGUGUUUUUUUUAAAUUUGUUAUAUUUUUAAACAGGUUUUAGUAUUUUGAGAUUGUUUGAUGCUUGUAAGCCUAUAUAUAAGCAACCUUGUGUUGUGAUCAUAUGUGUUUUUUUAGAUGAAUGAAAUCUAUAUACAUUUGCAUAGGAAUAAUAUAGGGCUGCGUGAGUUAAGAGGUUUGGUUCUUUUUCUUUUGCUAUGUAGACCACUUUGAAAACCUUUUGUUGAAAAGUGGUAUGUAAAUAUUUGUAGUAAUUGUAACAACAACAGGAACUAAUAAACACUAGUCUUAGUAAAAGACUAAUAACAGCACCAGCAAAAAGGCUUUUUUAAAGAGUCAGGUUUUAAUUUGGUGCCUGAAAGGAGGUAACACUAAUUAAUUAGUUAAUUGGCUAAACAUUGCAGUCCUAUAAUGAUUCUUAUCCUUUUUACUUUCCAGGCCAGGAUCUGAUAUCCAAGGCCUCUCUCUGUGUCAGCUGCUGUUUCCUGGUUCUUCCCUGACAAGUCUGCAGAAUGGCACAGUUUUUUACAUUGCAGUUCUUACAACCAAUGAUGAUACCUAGAUACGUUUCUCUCUCUCCAAGGCCUAUUCUGCACUUGCUGCGAAAUUUCAAGGGAUAAUAUAAUAUAUGGAGUUGCCCUCUAAUGAGUCAGACCCUUGCUCCGUCUAGCUCAGGAUUGUCUACACAAACUGGCAGCGGCUUCUCCAAGGUUUGAGGCAGGAGUCUUUCCCAGUCCUGCCUGGAGAUGCUGCCAGAGAAUGAACCUGGGACCUUCUGCAUGCAAAGCAGACCACUGAGUUGUAGCCUCAUCCUCUAAGGGGAAUAUCUUACAGUGUUCACAUGUAGUCACCCAUCCAAAUGCAAACCAAGGUGGUCCCUGCAUAGCAAAAAGACAGUUCAUGCUCACUACCGCAAGACCAGCUGUCCGCCCCAAAGGGCAGCUCUCCUAAUUUCCACUUCAGUGCUGUUGCAUGUUUGGACCAAAAUUAAAUUUUGCUUCAAAGUAUUUUGGAACCUCUCCUCUAGCUGAUAUUAAGAGGAGUACCAUAUGAAUUGUCCAUAGGAGUUUCCUUUAUUCCCAAGGCUAAGUUGUGGUAUUUAUUACAACUACAGUCUUUGAUUGAUUAAUCAAGUAAAAGCCUCUUUAUCUGAUUAAUGUAUUAAAAACCAUUGAAUGGCUCAAAAGAUACCCCAGUAGGUGGUACAUUUACCUUGAAAAAGAAUGGGCAGCAUCUAGAUUAGUUAGUCGUGACUAAGCACAACUGAAAUCAAUCGGCCAAGUUAAUCAUGACUAACCUAAGUCCCAUCAAUUUCAAUGGGAGCUAGUCAUGACUAACUCUGGAUGCAGUCCAUUGGUUGGUGUGUGUGUGUAUAUACUGCCAAUGACAGGAAUACCUUAGAAUAAGCAUCCAAUCUCAUAUCUAUAACAUAUGUGGCAUCCAACUCAGAAUGGAAUAGGGCCCAUCCUAUCAAGCAGCUGCAGAGACAGAUAGGAAAGAAAAUUGAGCCAUUUUCUUUAUUGGAGGCUACAUACAUAACCUCCUAAUGGUAAUGGAGAGCAAGUCAUUAAAAUUGUGAUUUGCUUUACUUUGGUGCCCCUCUAGUGGACUGUGCUUCAGGAACAGAACAAGCCACACAAGACAGAAACAUGCUUUUUCCACAGGUAGGUUCCAGACCUUGCCACACACAAAAAAACAAAACUCUGGAAAAUGCUUUUCUUUUCCAGAAUAUCUUGAAAAACUCACCCAUUGGAAAGCAGGGGGAAUGAUACCUCCUAGAUGUAGGAAAAGAUUAGAGUCACAGCAAGAGAACAAAAUGGUGGCAAACUCCAGGCCAUCACUGAGUCACUGACUGACUGACAUUAAACUCCCAGACAGAUCAACAAUGAGGAACCUUGAAGAUGGAUCAUCAGCUCAUAAUUAUCAGGAAUACCUUUGAAUAAGCAUCCAAUCUCAUAUCUGUAACAUAUGUGGCAUCCAACUCAGAAUGGAAUAGGACCCAUCUUAUCAAGCAGUUGCAGGAAAAUCUAGGAUUCAGGGGUGGAGUUUGGAUCCAUUUUCCGCCAAGAAUGCAGCUUGGACCGAAGAGGCGAGCAGCUGAAAUCUCUGGGGAUCAAGAGAGGCACAAUGGCAGAGAAUGCAUCCUGCUGACCGCAGCAUGAAUCUUGCCGGCAGGCGGGCACUAUAUAAACAAACAGAGCCUGUCUGGGCAGCAGGCGGCCCAUGGAGGAAGUGUCAGCAUUCAGCGAGCGAGAAGCAAUCCCUGCAGCCAAGAUGGCUCAGACAAACCCCCAACCGGCGCAGCUUGGCCCAUGGAAGGUCACCAUUUAUGACCAAGAGAACUUCCAGGGAAAACGGAUGGAAUUCACCGCUGCCUGCCCCAACAUUGUGGAGUGCAGCUUCGAUAAUGUUCGCUCACUCAAGGUGGAGAGUGGCACCUGGUUUGGCUACGAGCACACUAGCUUCUGUGGGCAGCAGUUUGUCCUGGAGCGAGGUGAGUACCCCCGGUGGGAGGCCUGGAGUGGCAGCAACGCUUACCACGUGGAGCGGCUGAUGUCCUUCCGUCCCAUCUGCUCGGCCAACCACAAGGAGUCCAAGAUCACCCUCUAUGAGAAGGAGAACUUCAUGGGCCACCAGUGGGAAGUUCAGGACGACUACCCUUCCCUACAGGCCAUGGGCUGGGCCAACAACGAAGUGGGCUCCAUGAAGAUCCAUUGUGGCGCAUGGGUUUGCUACCAGUAUCCUGGCUACCGUGGCUACCAGUACAUCUUGGAGUCCGACCACCACGGCGGAGACUACAAGCACUGGCGGGAGUGGGGCUCACACGCCCAGACCUCCCAGGUCCAGUCGGUCCGGCGCAUCCAGCAAUAAGCCCCCACUUGCUCUGGGGUGCCACUCACAGGACAGAAACCAGGACUCGGAUGAAGAGGUCCAAAACGGCAGAGAAGGCUCCCUGUGGUGGAGGCCUCCCUCACCACCACUCCAGCAACGCAUAGCCCUCGGAUCCAGGCCAAGAAGGUUCCCCCUCUCACUCCACCCUGGCAGGUGCUGAAUGCGUCACAGAACCCUCCCCCACGCACCGCCCCAGAUCCUUGGCAGCAGGCCGGGGGUUUCUCAACAGGUCACGCUCCUCAAGACACCCCCCUUUCACGCUUGCAAAGCAAGUUCCAGCUUUACUGCAUAGGAGCCCAGCAGCCCAGCGAGAGCGGAAAGACAGAGAGAGAGAGAAAGAAAGAGUCAACGCCCCUUACAAACAGAUGCCGGAGCCCAGAACCCUCAGCUAGAGUUUUGCCACCGAACCAAGGGGGCUCGAGAAGGGAGAUGGAGAAUCCGUGACCCCCUGCCUGGUUUGACUGCUCACUGGCCACAGAACAAGACCCCUCGCCAAAAAAAAAAGCCACCAGAGCAGAACUCGCAUCCUGGGGCACCAGCUCAGAAGAUGCCGGCAGAACGGCACUAGCAGCAGGCACGAGCAGCGACUGGGUCCCCAGGGAGCAUGCUCCGCGGUCGCCCCCCGCUAAAACCGGCCCAU